UACGUAGGCAGCAAGCGUUGUCCGGAUUUAUUGGGCGUAAAGAGCGUGUAGGCGGCCAGGUAGGUCCGUUGUGAAAACUCGAGGCUCAACCUCGAGAGGUCGGUUGAAACCGUAAGGCUAGAGUCCGGAAGAGGAGAGUGGAAUUCCCGGUGUAGCGGUGAAAUGCGCAGAUAUCGGGAAGAACACCCGUGGCGAAGGCGGCUCUCUGGGACGGUACUGACGCUGAGACGCGAAAGCGUGGGGAGCGAACAGG
RNAcentral lists this ribosomal RNA (253 nucleotides) under uncultured bacterium. RNAcentral's name for it is "partial 16S ribosomal RNA". It matches the Rfam family "Bacterial small subunit ribosomal RNA", at positions 524 to 776 of the family's 1533-position model. The record is from RNAcentral.